AUGCAAAGGAUCUCGAUCUACGUGGAUGACGUAGCUUUGUUCAUCAAAUCUACUGUCAUGGAUUUGAGCUUUGUGAAGGAGACCUUAAAGGCUUUUGGUGAAGCAUCUGGACUUAAAGUGAACCAUCGGAAGUCGUCGGCUAUUGUGAUUAGAGGCGAUGUGGAUGACAGACAAAGGGUGGCUGCACUGCUCCAAUGUGACCUAGCGGAGUUCCCAUGCAGGUAUCUUAGCCUGCAGCUUGCUGUCAAGAUCUUGACUCGCGCGGAUUGGCAGCCCAUGUUGGAUAAAGUGAGGUAUUUCGUGCCCGCCUGGCAAAGGGGGCUGAUCCAACGACCUGGCAGGUUGAUCCUGGUGCAAUCUAUCAUAUCUGCUCGGCCGAUACACCAUCUAAUGAUUGUGGACGCCCCGGUCUGGGUGAUUGAAAAGAUCAAUAAGUGGAUGCGAUCUUUCUUUUAG
This 456-nucleotide ribosomal RNA is filed under the name Triticum aestivum (bread wheat). RNAcentral describes it as "partial small subunit ribosomal RNA". The record is from RNAcentral. Lineage: Eukaryota; Viridiplantae; Streptophyta; Magnoliopsida; Poales; Poaceae.